This 440-nucleotide ribosomal RNA is filed under the name uncultured bacterium. Its description in RNAcentral is "partial 16S ribosomal RNA". It matches the Rfam family "Bacterial small subunit ribosomal RNA", at positions 339 to 795 of the family's 1533-position model. The record is from RNAcentral.
CUACGGGUGGCUCCAGUGAGGAAUAUUGCACAAUGGGGGGAACCCUGAUGCAGCAACGCCGCGUGGAGGAUGACGCAUUUCGGUGUGUAAACUCCUUUUAUAUGUCAAGAAAAUGACGGUAGCAUAUGAAUAAGCACCGGCUAACUCCGUGCCAGCAGCCGCGGUAAUAGCGGAGGGUGCAAGCGUUACUCGGAAUCACUGGGCGUAAAGGACGCGUAGGCGGGUUGGAAAGUCAGGUGUGAAAUCCUACAGCUUAACUGUAGAACUGCACUUGAAACUUCUAAUCUAGAGUAUGGGAGGGGGAGAUGGAAUUAGUGGUGUAGGGGCAAAAUCCGUAGAUAUCACUAGGAAUACCUAAAGCGAAGGCGAUCUCCUGGAACAUUACUGACGCUAAGGCGUGAAAGCGUGGGGAGCAAACAGGAUUAGAUACCCGUGUAGUC